Long non-coding RNA from Polyodon spathula (Mississippi paddlefish), 1424 nucleotides. RefSeq lists it as uncharacterized. The transcript is spliced from 7 exons. The record is from RefSeq and is a predicted model, not a curated record. NCBI's taxonomy places the organism in Eukaryota, Metazoa, Chordata, Actinopteri, Acipenseriformes, Polyodontidae.
GUUCUGUCUGUGCUUAUCCAAUGAACACGGGCAGGUUUGGUGCAAUGCAUACAUAACAAGAUGAGUUCACUGCUUUAAGCAAUGCAGUCUACUUAAUGGGUUGGGAAUCUGCGAGCUCUGUGGAAGUUCAGAGUUGCACUUAUAACUGAACUGAGGAAGGCAGCAGGAGAGGCCCUCUGGGGUAUGUUCAUAGCUGAUUCCAUGUCGAUGCCUGUUCAUUGGUAUUAUGUGGUAAACAACAUUAAGGAAGACUUCAAUGUCUGGAUAACUGGGUACCAGGCCCCCGAAAAGCACACACCCCUCCAGCAUCAUGAACCUUUCCAAUUCAGGUAUGCAGCCUGGAGACAAUACUUUGAAUGCUCUUUGAGCUAGAGCUGCUGUUCUUGCUGAGUACGUCCGCUUUCUGACAACACCAGGCACUCAUAAGGACACCUAUGCUGAAUCCUUCCAUAGGUCCUUCUUUGCUGAUUGCCAAGAAAGUCGCCCAGUCUCUAACAUGAAGAUUAAUUUGUCGUAUGGCGAUAGCCAGCUUGAUACAAUAGGCUGUUUUCCCAUGGGAAUACCUUUUAUUCUUCUGUCUGCUCGAUCAAAUGAGGACGAGGCUAUAUCCUAAGUCAUCAGAAGAGAGAUUAAAAGUCUAUCAGAAUGCCACCGCAUACCUUGGCCUGGCAUGUUAUACAAAACGGGCCCUUCGCAGCAUGUUCUUCCUGGCCCACCAAUAUGCUGAUGAUUUUACUGGGGGAGUAAGUUCUCGUUGUUCAAGAGAAAUCUGCCACCAUGGUGCUGCUCUGGGGGCUCUUCUAGGAGCAGCUGCUCUUCACCAAGGGAGUGUCAUGCCUCAGCACUGAAAGCACAGUCUGUCUACCACUGCCAAAGAGCUGCAGCGCAUGACCCGGGAAAUGCUCUGAACACUACCGCUAGAGAAAUCGAAUUACAUGAAGAGGAUGGAGGGUGUUGGAGAAACAUGCACUUUAAGAAAUGAUUGUUUAAAAGAAUAACUGUUUAGUUUUAGAUUUGUUAGUAUUUGGGUUUCCAUUAGUUAGUUAAAAGACAAUUUGGGUUUUAUAUUAAUUACUGGAGCAAGAAGGCAGAUGGCAAGGGGAAAGUUUAAAGUGCACCAAAUGGCAGUUUAAAAGGGGACCCUGUGCUUUGUCAGAGAGAACACUUUGGGAGCUAAAACCUUCAAAAGCUUAAACAAUCUCCUUCCUUCCUUAUCUUUAUAACAUCAGGGUUUCCCAUGUGGAACAUCAAACAGGCUUUGUUACAAUCACUUAAGGUAAUAAAACAAAACUGGACCCGCGUGGUCAAUGAUAUUCUGAUAGGUUAAGAAAUAAGAGAUGAUGUCUAAGCGAAGCUGUAUUAAAUCCCAACAUUGUAUUGUCUUGUUGAUUCUGUUAUGACCGGUGCUUAGGGAAAAUGGAAUA